AGCACCUCAAGUGGUCAGGAUGAUUAUUGGGCCUAAAGCAUCCGUAGCUCGUUUUGUAAGUUUUCGGUUAAAUCCAUGCGCUUAACGUAUGGGCUGCCGGGAAUACUGCAUAACUAGGAAGUGGGAGAGGUAGACGGUACUCGGUAGGAAGGGGUAAAAUCCUUUGAUCUAUUGAUGACCACCUGUGGCGAAGGCGGUCUACCAGAACACGUUCGACAGUGAGGGAUGAAAGCUGGGGGAGCAAACC
RNAcentral lists this ribosomal RNA (247 nucleotides) under uncultured crenarchaeote. RNAcentral describes it as "partial 16S ribosomal RNA". It matches the Rfam family "Archaeal small subunit ribosomal RNA", at positions 478 to 725 of the family's 1478-position model. Lineage: Archaea; Thermoproteati; Thermoproteota. The record is from RNAcentral.